GCCUACGGGAGGCAGCAGUGGGGAAUAUUGCACAAUGGGGGAAACCCUGAUGCAGCGACGCCGCGUGAGUGAAGAAGUAUUUCGGUACGUAAAGCUCUAUCAGCAGGGAAGAUAAUGACGGUACCUGAGUAAGAAGCCCCGGCUAACUACGUGCCAGCAGCCGCGGUAAUACGUAGGGGGCAAGCGUUAUCCGGAUUUACUGGGUGUAAAGGGAGCGCAGGCGGUACGGCAAGUCUGAUGUGAAAGCCCGGGGCUCAACCCCGGUACUGCAUUGGAAACUACCGGACUGGAGUGUCGGAGGGGUA
RNAcentral lists this ribosomal RNA (305 nucleotides) under uncultured bacterium. RNAcentral describes it as "bacterial SSU rRNA". It matches the Rfam family "Bacterial small subunit ribosomal RNA", at positions 337 to 659 of the family's 1533-position model. The record is from RNAcentral.